Molecule: ribosomal RNA, 1445 nt
Filed under: uncultured Bordetella sp.
Lineage: Bacteria; Pseudomonadati; Pseudomonadota; Betaproteobacteria; Burkholderiales; Alcaligenaceae
Description: partial 16S-23S ribosomal RNA intergenic spacer
Rfam family: Bacterial small subunit ribosomal RNA
Source: RNAcentral
UCGAACCUGAAGCCAGUUGAACGCUGGCGGGAUGCUUUACACAUACAAGUCGAACGGCGCUUUGAACGGUCUGGUGGCGAGUGGCAGACGGGUGAGUAAUGUAUCGGAACGUGCCUAGUAGCGGGGGACGCUACGCGAAAGCGUAGCUAAUACCACAUACGCCCUUCGGGGGAAAGCGGGGGACCUUCGGGCUCUAUAUGGAAGCGGCCGAUAUCGGAUUAGCUAGUUGGUGGGGGUAACGGCUCUGCCAGGCGGCAAAUCCGUAGCUGGUUUGAGAGGACGACCAGCCACGCUGGGACUGGAACGGAGCCUCACAAGGGCAGCAGUGGAAUUUUGGACAAUGGGGAAACCCUGAUCCAGCCAUCCCGCGUGUGCGAUGAAGGCCUUCGGGUUGUAAAGCACUUUUGGCAGGAAAGAAACGGCACGUAAUACCCAGUAUGACGACGUACCUGCAGAACCAGCACCAACGGCUAACUACGUGCCAGCAGCCAUGAUAAUGCGUAGGGUGCGCAAGCGUUAAUCGGAAUUACUGGGCGUAAAGCGUGCGCAGGCGGUUCGGAAGAAGAUGUGAAAUCCCAGAGCUUAACUGGAACUGCAUUUUUAACUACCGAGCUAGAGUGUGUCAGAGGGAGGUGGAGAUUACGAUAAUAGCAGUGAAAUGCGCUGAAUAUGCGGAGGAACACCGAUAGCGAAGGCAGCCUCCUGGCGAUGGCUGCUGACGCUCAUGCACAACGUGGGGAGCAAGCAGGAUUAGAUACCCUGGUAGUCCACGCCCUAAACGAUGUCAACUAGCUGUUGGGGCCUUUGGGCCUUGGUAGCGCAGCUAACGCGUGGGGAUGACCGCCUGGGGGAGUACGGUCGCAAGAUUAAAACUCAAAGGGAAUUGACGGGGACCCGCACAAGCGGUGGAUGAUGUGUGAGUUAAUUCCUGAUGCAACGCGAAAAGCCUUACUACCCUUGACAUGUCUGGAAUCCCGAAGAGAUUUGGGAGUGCUCGCAAGAGAACCGGAACACAGGUGCUGCAUGGCUGUCGUCAGCUCGUGUCGUGAGAUGUUGGGUUAAGUCCGCAACGAGCGCAACCCUUGUCAUUAGUUGCUACGAAGGGCACUGUGGAACUGCCGGUGACAAACCGGAGGAAGGUGGGGAUGACGUCAAGUCCUCAGCCAUAUGGGCGGGCUUCACUCAUACAAUGGUCAGGACCGAGAUUAUCUUCCCGCGAGGAGCCAAUCCGACUUGAUCGUAGUCCGGAUCACCGGUCGCUCGACCGCGUGAAGUGGAAUCGCUAGUAAUCGCGGAUCAGCAUGUCGCGGUGAAUACGUUCCCGGGUCUUGUACACCGCCCGUCACACCAUGGGAGUGGGUUUUUGCAGAAGUAGUUAGCCUAACCGUAAGGAGGGCGAUUACCACGGUAGGAGUCAUGACUGGGGUGAAGUCGUAACAAGGUAA